Molecule: non-coding RNA, 73 nt
Organism: Eimeria tenella
Lineage: Eukaryota; Apicomplexa; Conoidasida; Eucoccidiorida; Eimeriidae
Source: Rfam
GCCUCCUUAGCUUAGUCGGUAGAGCGUCCGCCUUGUAAGCUGAAGGUCGCUGGUUCGAUUCCGGCAGGGGGCU